RNAcentral lists this ribosomal RNA (249 nucleotides) under uncultured bacterium. Its description in RNAcentral is "partial 16S ribosomal RNA". It matches the Rfam family "Bacterial small subunit ribosomal RNA", at positions 355 to 621 of the family's 1533-position model. The record is from RNAcentral.
UGGGGAAUAUUGCACAAUGGGCGCAAGCCUGAUGCAGCGACGCCGCGUGCGGGAUGACGGCCUUAGGGUUGUAAACCGCUUUCAGCAGGGACGAAAUUGACGGUACCUGCAGAAGAAGCCCCGGCCAACUACGUGCCAGCAGCCGCGGUAAUACGUAGGGGGCAAGCGUUGUCCGGAUUUAUUGGGCGUAAAGAGCUCGUAGGCGGUCUGGUAAGUCGGAUGUGAAAUCUCCCCGCUUAACGUGGAGGG